Molecule: ribosomal RNA, 292 nt
Filed under: uncultured bacterium
Lineage: Bacteria
Description: partial 16S ribosomal RNA
Rfam family: Bacterial small subunit ribosomal RNA
Source: RNAcentral
GUUCCAGCCGCCGCGGUAAUACAGAGGGGGCAAGCGUUGUUCGGAAUUACUGGGCGUAAAGGGCGCGUAGGCGGCCGCCUAAGUCAGACGUGAAAUCCCUCGGCUCAACCGGGGAACUGCGUCUGAUACUGGGUGGCUUGAAUUCGGGAGAGGGAUGCGGAAUUCCAGGUGUAGCGGUGAAAUGCGUAGAUAUCUGGAGGAACACCGGUGGCGAAGGCGGCAUCCUGGACCGAGAUUGACGCUGAGGCGCGAAAGCCAGGGGAGCAAACGGGAUUAGAUACCCGAGUAGUCC